ACGGAGGAUCCGAGCGUUAUCCGGAUUUAUUGGGUUUAAAGGGUGCGUAGGCGGAAUAAUAAGUCAGUUGUGAAAGUUUGCGGCUCAACCGUAAAAUUGCAGUUGAUACUGUUAUUCUUGAGUGUACAUAAGGUAGGCGGAAUUCGUGGUGUGGCGGUGUACUGCGUAGAUAUCGCGGAGAACUCAAAUUGCGAAGGAAGCUAACCGGGGUUCAACUGACGCGGAGUCACGAAAGUGUUGUUAUCAAACAG
RNAcentral lists this ribosomal RNA (251 nucleotides) under uncultured prokaryote. RNAcentral describes it as "partial 16S rRNA". It matches the Rfam family "Bacterial small subunit ribosomal RNA", at positions 525 to 775 of the family's 1533-position model. The record is from RNAcentral.